This 2205-nucleotide long non-coding RNA is filed under the name Olea europaea (common olive). Its description in RNAcentral is "long non-coding RNA (OEUR_LNC012352)". Lineage: Eukaryota; Viridiplantae; Streptophyta; Magnoliopsida; Lamiales; Oleaceae. The record is from RNAcentral.
CACAUUCAACCAUUUUGUUUUUAGCAAGCAUUUCAUUUUGCAAGUUUUCAACACCAGCUUCUUGCGUAAUCAACGAUCCGAAAAGGUAAUUUUUAUAAAAUAUGUGAUAAAAAUAAAUUUAGAAUGUAUUUAUGAUAUAAAAAAUAUGUAGUUUAACAUACUAUUAUGUUAAAAAAGUAACUGAAACUUAAGUCUAUAGCGUUAAGUUCUUAUGUGAUAGAAAAAUUUGAAGUUGGAAAAGUUGUAGUAGAAUCAUAUUAACUUGUUUAAUUUGUUUUAUUUUAAAGGUUUUUUUUUUGUUAACUGAAAAUUGCGGUUACUGAGCAGCGCGGAGUACCUUGGAGUGUCCGCGCAGCGCGGAGUGCCUCGAAAGGAAGCACUCCGUGCUGUGCUUCAAAAAGAAGCAACGCGUUGCACUCCGCACAGCGCGAAGUCAGACUUCACGCAGCGCGACUUUUUGUUUUUAUUUUUUUAGAUGAUGUUCAGUGUCAAAUAUUUUUUUAUCUUUUAUUUUUUUUAUUAGGUGAUUUAUUUAAGUUUUUUUACACCCAUUUCGCACUAACACUUCAUCCCAAAUCCCACCUCAAUAUUUACUAAAUAUAUAUCAAUUCCUAACUGUUUAAUUUUAUGAAUAACUUUAUAAUAUUCCACAAAAACUAUUAUAAUCUUAUCCACAACCAUCACAAUUUUUUACAUUUUUCCUUUAUCUAAGUACUUUAAUUUGUACUUAUUGAAUAUAUACUUUUUUAUAUAUAUCCUUUUUCCAAGUCAAAUAAUCAAUUACAUUUAGAUAAAUCAAUUUAACAAGACAUUUAUAUGAACAUAUUUAAAUUAUUCAAAGCAUCAAAUAAUCUAUCAAAUGUGAUCUAUAUUUGAUUACAAGAAUCAUGUAUCAACAAAUUUAAAUUCAAACUUUAAUAUUUCAAUAUCAACAAAAUAAUUUAAAUACUAGGAUUUUUUUUUUUUUGGGUAAAAAAUAGUUCAAUUUCAUUUUAAUCACAACUUUUAUUCUUUCUAACUAUGCAUCAUUAGGCCAACUUCUACUACCAAAAAUAGAUAUUGUUCAACACGGUGAGGGAGAAAUAAAAUACAAACAUAACAAUGUGCUGACAAAUCAUCACUAUUAAUUUUACAAUAAUACUCUGUACGUAGUAAUAUUGAACAUCAGUUUAAAUUUUAACAUGUUAUGGGUCAUAUUAAAUCAACCAUAAUUUAUUAUAUUUAAUUGCACUUAUAAUACAAUAAUACUCUGUAUCGUAGUAAUAUUGAACAUUAGUUUAAUAGUAAUAUUGCACAUCAGUUUAAAUUUCAACAUGUUACGGGUCAUAUUAAACUGACCAUAAUUCAUUGUAUUUAAUUGCACUUAUAAUUUAAUGUUAUUAGCUAUUAGUGCUUCAUCUAAACUAAUUUUUUGCACAUCCUAAAUUUCAUCCACAUAUAAUGUGUUGUUGGAUGCGUCUUAGGUCUAAAUAAGCCCUACAAGACUCGAAGCUCUGAUGAGAAAGUAAUUCCAUAGCCAUAUAUUUAACAUAUGAGUUAUACUCUAACUUAGUUUUCUUUAUUUAUAAUUCUUUGUAGGAUUGUCUUUGACAUAUAUAAAAGAGCAGAAAAGUCAAUCAUAAAAAAACUGUUUAGGAAAAUUCCUCUAUUUGUUCCUAAGGUAACAUUCCUCACACUUAUUCUUGUUAUUAUGUUUAUUCUAUGUGCUUAAUUGUAUAAGUUGAACAAAUAUUUUUUACCUUUCUCAUUAGAUAAAUGGUGAUGAAUAUUGUUUUUCAUUAAAUAAAUGGUGAUCAAUGUUGUUUGAGCAAACAUAUUAGGCAAAAUAUAAAAUGAAGACGUGUUUAAAAGUUUGUUAGUACCUAUUUCUAAGUUGGUGUCUAAAUAAGAAAAUUAUAGUUUGAGUAGACAAGAACUGGUUUCUUAUUGUAGAGUAGUUAAACAAAAUAUUCAAUGCUAAAGUUCUUUAUUAUCAAGUAUAUGUGAUUCCUAUCAUAUACCUCUUUAUGUUUUGCAGAUGUCGUUAGAAUACAUAUUAUCUCCAAAUCAAUGAUUUUAUGCUACCAUUACUUAAUUUGUGAAUCAUCAAUAUCUUUAAGAUUUUGUAGAAUUUAUAGAUGGAGACGAUCAAGCUUCUUUAUUAUGCAGUCACUUUCAAGGAUUUAUCUAUGGAAGUACGUAUAAUGAACAAAACGAAAAAUUUAG